GUGCUUGCUUUAGCAGUACAUAUACUAAAAUUGGAAUGAUAUAGAGAAGAUUAGCAUGGCUCCUAAAAAAAAAUAUAUAUAUAUAAUACAUAAAUCAUAUAG
Molecule: small nuclear RNA, 102 nt
Organism: Manis javanica (Malayan pangolin)
Lineage: Eukaryota; Metazoa; Chordata; Mammalia; Pholidota; Manidae
Source: RefSeq, a predicted model, not a curated record